CAACUCUCAGCAACGGAUAUCUUGGCUCUUGCAACGAUGAAGAACGCAGCGAAAUGCGAUACGUAGUGUGAAUUGCAGAAUUCCGCGAAUCAUCGAGUCUUUGAACGCAAGUUGCGCCCGAGGCUCGACCAAGGGCAUCCCUGCCAGAGCGUCACCG
Molecule: ribosomal RNA, 157 nt
Filed under: Mesotus celatus
Lineage: Eukaryota; Viridiplantae; Streptophyta; Bryopsida; Dicranales; Dicranaceae
Description: 5.8S ribosomal RNA
Rfam family: 5.8S ribosomal RNA
About the family: 5.8S ribosomal RNA (5.8S rRNA) is a component of the large subunit of the eukaryotic ribosome. It is transcribed by RNA polymerase I as part of the 45S precursor that also contains 18S and 28S rRNA. Functionally, it is thought that 5.8S rRNA may be involved in ribosome translocation.
Source: RNAcentral